UACGUAGGGGGCAAGCGUUGUCCGGAAUUAUUGGGCGUAAAGCGCGCGCAGGCGGUCCUUUAAGUCUGAUGUGAAAGCCCGCGGCUCAACCGUGGAGGGUCAUUGGAAACUGGGGGACUUGAGUACAGAAGAGAAGAGUGGAAUUCCACGUGUAGCGGUGAAAUGCGUAGAGAUGUGGAGGAACACCAGUGGCGAAGGCGACUCUUUGGUCUGUAACUGACGCUGAGGCGCGAAAGCGUGGGGAGCAAACAGG
This 253-nucleotide ribosomal RNA is filed under the name uncultured bacterium. RNAcentral's name for it is "partial 16S ribosomal RNA". It matches the Rfam family "Bacterial small subunit ribosomal RNA", at positions 524 to 776 of the family's 1533-position model. The record is from RNAcentral.